GCUGGGUGUGGUGGCCCACGCCUGUAAUCCCAGCACUUUGGGAGGCUGAGGCAGGUGGAUCAUUUGAGGUCAGGAAUUCGAGACAAGCCUGGCCAACAUGGUGAAACCCUGUCUCUA
RNAcentral lists this small RNA (117 nucleotides) under Callithrix jacchus (white-tufted-ear marmoset). Its description in RNAcentral is "Metazoan signal recognition particle RNA (ENSCJAG00000074288.1)". Lineage: Eukaryota; Metazoa; Chordata; Mammalia; Primates; Cebidae. The record is from Rfam by way of RNAcentral.